UACGUAGGGGGCGAGCGUUGUCCGGAAUUACUGGGCGUAAAGGGCGCGUAGGCGGCUUAAUAAGUCUGAUGUGAAAAUCCUGGGCUUAACCCAGGGCUUGCAUUAGAAACUGUUGAGCUUGAGGACAGGAGAGGAAAGCGGAAUUCCCAGUGUAGCGGUGAAAUGCGUAGAUAUUGGGAAGAACACCAGUGGCGAAGGCGGCUUUCUGGACUGCACCUGACGCUGAGGCGCGAAAGCCAGGGGAGCGAACGGG
Molecule: ribosomal RNA, 253 nt
Filed under: uncultured bacterium
Lineage: Bacteria
Description: partial 16S ribosomal RNA
Rfam family: Bacterial small subunit ribosomal RNA
Source: RNAcentral